GCUGCCUGCACCAGCACCACCCGGUCCGAAGCCUCCUGUUCCUCUGCCAGCACCACCAGGUCCAAAACCACCUGUUCCCGUGCCAGCGCCACCUGGUCCAUAGCUUCCUGUUCCUGUACCAGCGCCACCUGGUCCAUAGCUUCCUGUUCCUGUGCCAGCGCCACCUGGUCCAUAGCUUCCUGUUCCCGUGCCAGCACCACCUGGUCCAUAGCCUCCUGUUCCUGUACCAGCGCCACCUGGUCCAUAGCUUCCUGUGCCAGCGCCACCUGGUCCAUAGCUUCCUGUUCCAGCCCCACCUGGUCCAUAGCUUCCUGUGCCAGCACCACCCGGUCCGAAGCCUCCUGUUCCUGUACCAGCACCACCAGGCCCAUAUCUGCCUGGUCCUGUACCUGCUCCUCCAGGCCCACCAGCCCCAGGUGCCAAGCCUGCUCCUCCAGGACCUCCUCCAACUCCUCCAAGACCACCAGCACCCCCAGGACCACCUCCAACUCCUCCAUGACCAGUUCCAACGCCCCCAGGACCACCUCCAACUCCUCCAGGACUAGUUCCAACGCCCCCAGGACCACCUCCAACUCCACCAGUACCGGCUCCAACGCCCCCAGGACCACCUCCAACUCCUCCUGCUACCCCACCGACUCCACCUACAUUUGCACUCUGUGCUCCAACUCCAGUUCCAGUUGCAGGACUGUCUCCUCUCCCCCCACCUGUUGCACCACCUGA
Molecule: long non-coding RNA, 720 nt
Filed under: Scophthalmus maximus (turbot)
Lineage: Eukaryota; Metazoa; Chordata; Actinopteri; Pleuronectiformes; Scophthalmidae
Description: lncRNA (ENSSMAG00000030265.1)
Source: RNAcentral